AUGGGGUCCUCGCCAACAUCGUACAAGAAGGCCACGGCGGCGCUGGAUGAGGCGGCGAGGGCGAGGCUGCGCGGCCCGUUCUUCGGCGGCACCACGCCGUCGUCCGCCUCCGGGCAGGAGGACGUCGACGACGACGACGGCCUGGUGGAGCUGGUGCACGAGUUCUACAACGGGUACGGCGAAGACGCCGUCGCCAAGGAAGCCGUGGCGCCGCGGCCCGCUAGUGCCACGUGGGUCGACGCGCUGCAGGCGGCGCUGGCAGAUGCGACGGCCGACGCGGCAGCGGCGCGUAUCCGCGCCGAGGCGGAGCGCGCCGUCGUGGGUGCGGGGCCGAACGUCGCUGGCGGUGAAGCGGUCAGGAAGCUCGUCGCCGCCCGGCUCCGUGCGAGAGGGUUCGAUGCCGGUGUCUGCAGAUCGUCGUGGGAAAGAGGAAGCAGCGUGCCGGCGGGCAGCCACGAGUACGUGGACGUGGUGAUCGCAGCCGGCGCGUCGACGUCGCGGUACAUCGUCGAGGUCAACCUCGCCAUCGAGUUCGAGACGGCGAGGCCCAGCGCCGAGUACCAGGAGCUCCUCCUCGCCCUGCCCACGGUGCUCGUGGCGAGGCCGGAGACGUUCAAGGAGGUGGCCGCGGCAAUGUGCGCGGCGGCAGCGGAGUCCAUCCGGGGCGCGGGCAUGCACGUGCCGCCAUGGAGGCGCGCGCGGUACGUGCAGGCCAAGUGGUCCGGCAAGUACAAGCGAGCGGCGGCCGUGGCCGUGGCCGCGGCCGCGCCGUCGGGGUCGCCAUGGGAAGCUGUGGCGAGCAGCACUGCAGCGGCCGAAGCUCGCCCGCGCCGCGGUGUGCCGGCAUCCGGCGGCCCGAAGCAUUGCGGGAUGGAGAUGGGCCGCAGGGAGAUGGCGUUCGGGAGCACGAGGCCGCUGAUGUUCAGAGGGUUGUGA
Molecule: ribosomal RNA, 936 nt
Filed under: Triticum aestivum (bread wheat)
Lineage: Eukaryota; Viridiplantae; Streptophyta; Magnoliopsida; Poales; Poaceae
Description: partial small subunit ribosomal RNA
Source: RNAcentral